Cyprinus carpio carpio is the source of this 1298-nucleotide long non-coding RNA. NCBI's taxonomy places the organism in Eukaryota, Metazoa, Chordata, Actinopteri, Cypriniformes, Cyprinidae. The record is from Ensembl.
AUGUGGUUCUCUGUGUUGUUCAGGAUUGGAGUCUCCGGCGUCCUCGUGACUCAGCCUGGCUGGUUCCUGUCGGCGCUCCUGAACCUGAGGGUGUGGUUCUGUACCCGGAUCACUGUCCCAGCACCAGUAGCCUGUCUGGACUGUCCUACCGGAUACAUGGUCUGUCUGAGACCAUCGAACAUGAGGAGAGAGCAGAAGAAGCUCAGAGUCCCGUCAGUGGAGCCUCCAUGGGCUACGGCAGCGGAGGAUCCAGUCCAGACCACCGACACCACGAUGUGGAGGCGCUGGGCUCUGACGAUGAAUCCUGUGAUGGUAGCAGUAGCACACGGCCGAUCUGUGAUUCUGGGAGUGUUCCGCAUCAGGACGUCUGGAGGAGAAGCUCUGAGACGCUGACGGACGGCAACAAUGCAGGUAAACUCUCUAGUUUUUCUGCUUCUUUUGUAAGUCACUUUAUAUAAAAGCAUUGGCUGAAUGCAUGAAUGUAAUAAUUUUGAAUAUUUGAUUUGUUCUCAGGGUCUCAGAUGAGAGCUGAAGGAAGCAUCGCAGCAUGCUUGCACAGCCAGAAGUCCUCUAGCAGGUAUUCUCACGAUGAUGGUCUGCUUUACUCCAGCUGCAUGUACUGAUGCAGUAACAUAAUCUUCUGUACAUGCAGGAUAGACUCUGCAUUUCCCCAUCAGUCUGGCAGAUCCAGUGUGGCAGUGAAGCCCACGGUCAGCGGCAUCAGGCCCCUGAUGGAGGACGCAGGUGACCCCGAUCGUCCAGAGCAGUGUCGCGUCCCGCAGAGGAGCCACCCGUACCUGAGCCGCGUCUCCUGCCCCGUCAGCAGGACCUCAGCUGGACUCCAGAAAUCUGCUUCAGCACACAGUCUGAGCAGCCACCGUGAGUGUUUGAUCUGAUGAGGGCUGAUCAGCAAAGGCUCUGGAAUACAUCACACUGAUUGAGCAUUCAUCAUUAGGUCAAGAUUUUUGCUAAAUAAUAAAUUACAUUUUUGGUUUAUUUUUCGCCAAACUCAAUCACAUGCCUCCAGAAUACUCUAACUGUAUGGCACGAGUCACAUGGGAUCAUUUUACCAGAGUUUUGCAUUCUUUUUUAAAAACCUUUUAUUUAAGGCUUUUAAUGCAAAAUAUUGUCAAAAUCUGACAUUGUAAUAUUUUGUUUUUCUGCACUGCAAAAAUGGACAAAAAACAUCCUUAAAUCAAGAGAUGCAAUUACUAGAGAUGCAAUAUGACAUAAGAAGUCUUUCUGAAAAAUAUAUGAAAAUGAAGUGACUUUAUGCUUAUGACAAGAAAAAAUAUCUG